RNAcentral lists this non-coding RNA (27 nucleotides) under Homo sapiens (human). The record is from RNAcentral. Lineage: Eukaryota; Metazoa; Chordata; Mammalia; Primates; Hominidae.
CAGGAAGUGGCAGUUCGACGUCUGGUC